CCUACGGGAGGCAGCAGUAGGGAAUCUUCCACAAUGGGCGAAAGCCUGAUGGAGCAACGCAGCGUGGGUGAAGAAGGUCUUCGGAUCGUAAAACCCUGUUGUUAGAGAAGAAAGUGCGUGAGAGUAACUGUUCACGUUUCGACGGUAUCUAACCAGAAAGCCACGGCUAACUACGUGCCAGCAGCCGCGGUAAUACGUAGGUGGCAAGCGUUAUCCGGAUUUAUUGGGCGUAAAGGGAACGGAGGCGGUCUUUUAAGUCUGAUGUGAAAGUCUUCGGCUUAACCGGAGUAGUGCAUUGGAAACUGGCAGACUUGAGUACAGAAGAGGAGAGCGGAACUCCAUGUGUAGCGGUGAAAUGCGUAGAUAUAUGGAAGAACACCAGUGGCGAAGGCGGCUCUCUGGUCUGUAACUGACGCUGAGGUUCGAAAGCGUGGGUAGCAAACAGGAUUAGAUACCCGUGUAGUC
RNAcentral lists this ribosomal RNA (465 nucleotides) under uncultured bacterium. RNAcentral describes it as "partial 16S ribosomal RNA". It matches the Rfam family "Bacterial small subunit ribosomal RNA", at positions 338 to 795 of the family's 1533-position model. The record is from RNAcentral.